GACGAACGUUGGCGGCGUGCUUAAUACAUGCAAGUCAACUGAAGCAGUGGUAGCAAUAUCGCUGUGGAGGUGGCGCACGGGUGAGUAACACGUAGGUAAUCUGCCUUCAGGUCUGGCAUAACUCCGGGAAACCGGGGCUAAUAGCAGAUGAUGCAGCGGCUCGGCAUCGAGACAGUUGUUAAAGCUAUGGCGCCUGAAGAUGAGCCUGCGUCUGAUUAGCUAGUUGGCGGGGUAACGGCCCACCAAGGCAACGAUCAGUAGCUGGUCUGAGAGGAUGAUCAGCCACACUGGAACUGAGACACGGUCCAGACUCCUACGGGAGGCAGCAGUAAGGAAUAUUGCUCAAUGGGAGAAAUCCUGAAGCAGCAACGCCGCGUGAGGGACGAAGGGCUUUUGCUUGUAAACCUCUGUAGUGAGAGAAAAAAAUCCCAAUCUUUGGGACAUGAUGGUAGCUCAAAAGUAAGCCCCGGCUAACUACGUG
RNAcentral lists this ribosomal RNA (481 nucleotides) under uncultured bacterium. Its description in RNAcentral is "partial 16S ribosomal RNA". It matches the Rfam family "Bacterial small subunit ribosomal RNA", at positions 28 to 507 of the family's 1533-position model. The record is from RNAcentral.